UACUCCUACGGGAGGCAGCAGUAGGGAAUCUUCGGCAAUGGACGGAAGUCUGACCGAGCAACGCCGCGUGAGUGAAGAAGGUUUUCGGAUCGUAAAGCUCUGUUGUAAGAGAAGAACGAGUGUGAGAGUGGAAAGUUCACACUGUGACGGUAACUUACCAGAAAGGGACGGCUAACUACGUGCCAGCAGCCGCGGUAAUACGUAGGUCCCGAGCGUUAUCCGGAUUUAUUGGGCGUAAAGCGAGCGCAGGCGGUUAGAUAAGUCUGAAGUUAAAGGCUGUGGCUUAACCAUAGUACGCUUUGGAAACUGUUUAACUUGAGUGCAGAAGGGGAGAGUGGAAUUCCAUGUGUAGCGGUGAAAUGCGUAGAUAUAUGGAGGAACACCGGUGGCGAAAGCGGCUCUCUGGUCUGUAACUGACGCUGAGGCUCGAAAGCGUGGGGAGCAAACAGGAUUAGAUACCCUGGUAGUCCACGCCGUAAACGAUGAGUGCUAGGUGUUGGGUCCUUUCCGGGACUCAGUGCCGCAGCUAACGCAUUAAGCACUCCGCCUGGGGAGUACGACCGCAAGGUUGAAACUCAAAGGAAUUGACGGA
This 592-nucleotide ribosomal RNA is filed under the name uncultured bacterium. RNAcentral describes it as "bacterial SSU rRNA". It matches the Rfam family "Bacterial small subunit ribosomal RNA", at positions 334 to 917 of the family's 1533-position model. The record is from RNAcentral.